This is a long non-coding RNA of Leopardus geoffroyi (Geoffroy's cat), 250 nucleotides long. RefSeq lists it as uncharacterized. The record is from RefSeq and is a predicted model, not a curated record. Lineage: Eukaryota; Metazoa; Chordata; Mammalia; Carnivora; Felidae. The transcript has 3 exons.
ACCUGCACUUACCUUUGAAAACCUUCAAGGCUAGUGUGAGAGAGACAAGAGAGGAGGGUUAUUGUGUGAGACGACUUUCACUAUCACUACCGGAAUCACUGCUAUCAAUCGGCUCAAUAGAAUCUUUUUCUUUUUGUGCAGCUUUAACAAGGAACCUGUCCAAUGACACUUGCUUUUGCCUCCUUGUGAGGAUUUCGCGGAAACGUGACAUUGCACUCGUAACACUCUCCAGAGAGAGAGAGAGAGAGAA